This 254-nucleotide ribosomal RNA is filed under the name uncultured bacterium. Its description in RNAcentral is "partial 16S ribosomal RNA". It matches the Rfam family "Bacterial small subunit ribosomal RNA", at positions 524 to 776 of the family's 1533-position model. The record is from RNAcentral.
CACGUAGGCACCAAGCGUUGUCCGGAAUCAUUGGGCGUAAAGAGCUCGUAGGCGGUUCAGUCAGUCGGGUGUGAAAUCCUUGGGCUUAACCCAAGAACUGCACCCGAUACUGCUGUGACUCGAGUCCGGUAGAGGAGUGUGGAAUUCCUGGUGUAGCGGUGGAAUGCGCAGAUAUCAGGAGGAACACCAACGGCGAAGGCAGCACUCUGGGCCGGUACUGACGCUGAGGAGCGAAAGCGUGGGGAGCGAACAGG